UGCAAUUGCUGGCGCGGCUCUCGCGCUGGCUGGGUUAUUGUCCGAGCUCGGCUUUGAUCGCUCCCGUGCUGUCGCGGCC
RNAcentral lists this transfer RNA (79 nucleotides) under Hyphomicrobium sp. ghe19. RNAcentral's name for it is "tRNA-Asn". Lineage: Bacteria; Pseudomonadati; Pseudomonadota; Alphaproteobacteria; Hyphomicrobiales; Hyphomicrobiaceae. The record is from RNAcentral.